UACCAGCUCUCCGAGUGGUGUGGAUGUUUAUUUGGCCUAAAGCAUCCGUAGCUGGCUGGACAAGUCCCCUGUUAAACCCACCGAUUUAAUCGUUGGUGUGCGGGGGAUACUGUUCGGCUAGGGGACGGGAGAGGCAGACGGUAUUUUUGGGGAGGGUGAAAUCCUAUAAUCCCAGGAAGACCACCAGUGGCGAAGGCUGUCUGCUAGAACGCGCCCGACGGUGAGGGAUGAAAGCUGGGGGAGCGAACCGGAUUAGAUACCCGGGUAGUCCCAGCUGUAAACGAUGCAGGCUAGGUGUUUGGACGGCCACGUGCCGUUCUAGUGCCGCAGGGAAGCCGUUAAGCCUGCCGCCUGGGGAGUACGGCCGCAAGGCUAGAAACUUAAAGGAAUUGGCGGGGAGCACCACAAGGGUGAUGCUUGCGUUU
RNAcentral lists this ribosomal RNA (425 nucleotides) under uncultured archaeon. RNAcentral's name for it is "bacterial SSU rRNA". It matches the Rfam family "Archaeal small subunit ribosomal RNA", at positions 474 to 902 of the family's 1478-position model. The record is from RNAcentral.